UUUCUUAUAAAAUAAUAUUUAUAGAACUCUGCGUAAAUAAUUUUUGUAGCGUAAAAGCAAAAUAAAUUCAUACAUACAGUGACACAGAUAAUCAAAGUAUGUAAUUUAAUUUACAAUGACGUGUGGGCCCCCGAAUAACCAAACGUAAGAAAGGCUGUGGACCUACAAUUUCUGAGGAGGCGAGUCCAAUAAUAACCCUCGACAUAAUCAACUAUUUAUGGACUGUCCUGAUCCUGGAAUGAGUGGAAAUGAGGGUGGUGAGUUUAUACAAACUCAGUGAGUAAACAAACAUCAUCUAAAAUAUCUAAAGUCGAGUAAAUUGAGACAACUUAAAAUAGUUCAUCGUACUAUGAUUCAUAACGUUUCAAACACAUUUCAACAAAAUAAAAUAAUUUCAUUUCACUCAAAUAAUCAACAUGGCUUAUGAAUUUCUUAAGAAUUUGGCUCGUGCCAAAACUCAUUCUUGGGGAUACCUUGGCUGGGGCAUCCAACCGAGUUCGCCAAGGCUGUUAAAGAAGAGUUCAUAUACGCAUAAAACACAUUUUUACGUUUAAAAGCAUAGUUGUUCCUUGGCAUUAGCUGAGUUCACUCUCACGUGGUGGUUUAGUGUGUAGUGAACUCUAAAGCUUUUCCUCAGGAGAUACCCUCUGCGCCUUUCGUACCGAGGUAAAAUAUAACCAGGUUUACUGUGCCCCUCUUUAAUAGGCUGGUCCACGGAAACCCACCACUGUAGUGACUAAUCAAUAUCCCACCAAAUCAAUAAAAGUUUCGACAGCAUGACAUGGCAAUUAUAUUACUACCCAGCCUGUUAAGCCAAAACAAAUAGUUCAUACAAUUUCAACAUAAUUUCCAAUUUAGCCAUUCAUGCCAAUAUCACCAUAAGCCAUUCAAUUCAAACCAUAAAUUUACAACACAAUCAAACAGUCUCCAAUUACUCAAUUUCUAAAAUCAUCAUUCAAUUUCAAAAUGAUUUAUAAAACUCAUUUCAUUUAAUCACAUUUUACUUAUUUAACAUAAGGAUUUACCAUUUAAACUCAUUUUUCUAUAAAAUCACAAAAACGAAUAAAAACUACUUUAGAUAUUUAAGACGAUAAUAAGGUUACUCACAAUAUCAGGAGUCGAA
Molecule: long non-coding RNA, 1123 nt
Filed under: Theobroma cacao (cacao)
Lineage: Eukaryota; Viridiplantae; Streptophyta; Magnoliopsida; Malvales; Malvaceae
Description: long non-coding RNA (TCAC_LNC001742)
Source: RNAcentral